RNAcentral lists this unclassified non-coding RNA (329 nucleotides) under soil metagenome. Its description in RNAcentral is "partial contains 5.8S ribosomal RNA, internal transcribed spacer 2, and large subunit ribosomal RNA". The stretch from base 1 to 120 matches the Rfam family "5.8S ribosomal RNA", at positions 35 to 154 of the family's 154-position model. The record is from RNAcentral.
GAUGAAGAACGUAGCGAAAUGCGAUAAGUAAUGUGAAUUGCAGAAUUCAGUGAAUCAUCGAAUCUUUGAACGCACAUUGCGUCGCCUGGUAUUCCGGGGGGCAUGCCUGUCCGAGCGUCAUUACAACCCUCAAGCUCAGCUUGGUGUUGGGCCCCGCCGCCCCGGCGGGCCCUAAAGUCAGUGGCGGUGCCGUCCGGCUCCGAGCGUAGUAAUUCUUCUCGCUCUGGAGGUCCGGUCGUGUGCUCGCCAGCAACCCCCAAUUUUUUUCAGGUUGACCUCGGAUCAGGUAGGGAUACCCGCUGAACUUAAGCAUAUCAAUAAGCGGAGGA